RNAcentral lists this ribosomal RNA (253 nucleotides) under uncultured bacterium. RNAcentral's name for it is "partial 16S ribosomal RNA". It matches the Rfam family "Bacterial small subunit ribosomal RNA", at positions 524 to 776 of the family's 1533-position model. The record is from RNAcentral.
UACGUAGGGACCAAGCGUUGUUCGGAUUUACUGGGCGUAAAGGGCGCGUAGGCGGCGUGUUAAGUCACUUGUGAAAUCUCUGAGCUUAACUCAGAACGGUCAAGUGAUACUGAUGUGCUAGAGUGCAGAAGGGGCAACCGGAAUUCUUGGUGUAGCGGUGAAAUGCGCAGAUAUCAGGAGGAACACCGGUGGCGAAGGCGGGUCUCUGGGCAGUAACUGACGCUGAGGAGCGAAAGCGUGGGGAGCGAACAGG